GUCGAUGGGUUUGUGGGCGCGGGGCGCGAGGUGGUAGCUGGGCUAGUCCUGUUCCCUGGCGUCUGGGCCUUUCUGCUCUCUGCAAGGAGCUGGGUCGCGACCUGUCACUGCCAGCCGUGCGCUCGCCCUCUGCGCCCCGUCUCGUGGUCACUGCCGCCCUCCCUCCCGCCACACCUCUGAUGAUCGCGAUGGAGCCGCGCCUCAGGUGGCAUUACUAUAAACCUAAGAGGAGAGGCGCCCGUUCGAAUGAGGGCAAAUUAUUUAGUAUUUUGUCUUUAAUGUUCCUGGCAGCUUAAAGUACCAACUGGGACACUUGUCACUAGUUUGAGAAGUGCAGCCAUAGUGACCUCUUUUGAAAGAUGAAUCAAUGAAUUAAGUCAUUUCUGAGAAACCAAGGAGGCCUGUUGGAGGAGGCUGGCCCUCCUGUGGCAGGUAACCCAAACUCCACUGCCCUUGGCAACAAGACAAGGCUAAUAUUUUCCCAAGAAGGGCCUUUUCAUGGAAUGAUCUUUCCAACCCGUUGACUACAACAAG
Molecule: non-coding RNA, 534 nt
Filed under: Pongo abelii (Sumatran orangutan)
Lineage: Eukaryota; Metazoa; Chordata; Mammalia; Primates; Hominidae
Source: RNAcentral